Molecule: ribosomal RNA, 365 nt
Filed under: Nakaseomyces glabratus
Lineage: Eukaryota; Fungi; Ascomycota; Saccharomycetes; Saccharomycetales; Saccharomycetaceae
Description: eukaryotic LSU rRNA
Rfam family: Eukaryotic large subunit ribosomal RNA
Source: RNAcentral
GGGUGGUAAAUUCCAUCUAAAGCUAAAUACAGGCGAGAGACCGAUAGCGAACAAGUACAGUGAAGGAAAGAUGAAAAGAACUUUGAAAAGAGAGUGAAAAAGUACGUGAAAUUGUUGAAAGGGAAGGGCAUUUGAUCAGACAUGGUGUUUUGCGCCCCUUGCCUCUCGUGGGCUUGGGACUCUCGCAGCUCACUGGGCCAGCAUCGGUUUUGGCGGCCGGAAAAAACCUAGGGAAUGUGGCUCUGCGCCUCGGUGUAGAGUGUUAUAGCCCUGGGGAAUACGGCCAGCCGGGACCGAGGACUGCGAUACUUGUUAUCUAGGAUGCUGGCAUAAUGGUUAUAUGCCGCCCGUCUUGAAACACGGAC